UAUGAGAUGGCUGAAUGUAGGUAUUGGAUUGUAAACCCAACCAUGAAGAUUAAAUAUCUUCUCUUAUAA
This 69-nucleotide transfer RNA is filed under the name Ophiophthalmus serratus. RNAcentral describes it as "tRNA-Tyr". It matches the Rfam family "tRNA". Rfam says of the family: Transfer RNA (tRNA) molecules are approximately 80 nucleotides in length. Their secondary structure includes four short double-helical elements and three loops (D, anti-codon, and T loops). The record is from RNAcentral. Lineage: Eukaryota; Metazoa; Echinodermata; Ophiuroidea; Amphilepidida; Ophiacanthidae.